GGGGGCUAGGAUGAAAUUUGAAAAAAAUAGGCAGGACAGGAGUUUUGAGUAAAAAAAAAAAGCGGAUGAGAAACUUGUUAAAAAAAAAGGCAGGAUGACAAAUUUGUAAAAAAAAAGUCAGGAUAAACUAGUAAAAAAAAAGGCAGGACCGAAUAGAGUAAAAAAUAAAAAGGCAGGACAGAGAUUACAACUAAAAAAAAAAAAGCAG
Molecule: long non-coding RNA, 208 nt
Filed under: Mytilus galloprovincialis (Mediterranean mussel)
Lineage: Eukaryota; Metazoa; Mollusca; Bivalvia; Mytilida; Mytilidae
Source: RNAcentral